CUGGACUUCCCUAACUCAUGCUUUCGGGGGCCUAACGUGCCUCCAAAACGCAUGCAUGUUCGGCGGCCGAACUUGACUUUCGGCGGCCGAACCUGGGUUUUCCUCCAAUGCUAUUUUCAUGCAAAAAUUCAUUUAGUUUCAUACUUUAAAACCAUUAAAAACAUGAAAACAUUUUUAUAAAACAUGACUUUACCCUUCUAGAAGUUCCCGACAUCCGAAAUUCCACCGGACGGUAGGAAUUCCGAUACCGGAGUCUAGCCGGGU
RNAcentral lists this long non-coding RNA (264 nucleotides) under Manihot esculenta (cassava). Its description in RNAcentral is "long non-coding RNA (MESC_LNC004465)". The record is from RNAcentral. Lineage: Eukaryota; Viridiplantae; Streptophyta; Magnoliopsida; Malpighiales; Euphorbiaceae.